CAGUCAAGAAUAUUAGUCAAUGCUCGCAAGAGUGAACUAGCUAACUGAAAUCAAAAAAAGGUUGACCCUAUUUUUUGAUAACGUAAGGGAAAAUAAUGAUAUUACCUUACUAAUAGUGUCGUCCAAAACUGGUGCCAGAAGACUCGGUAAGGCCAGAGACGCAAACGUUAAUCGUCUUAAUCAGGCGUAAAGGGUGUGUAGGCGGCUUUGAAAUUUUACUUUUUUUAAUAGCACUUUUUAAUUUUUCAUUAAAUUAAAAAAUAAAAAAAGUGAAGCAAUCAAAGCUAGAAUCAAAUAGAGGAUAUAUUAAAUAAUACUUAGAGUAUAGGUCUGAUAUCCAUAGAUACUAAGGGGAAUAUUAAUAGUGAAAGCUUUUUUUCUACUAAUGAUUGACGCUGAGAAACGAAGGUGAGGAUAGGAAAUAGGAUUAGAUACCCAAAAUACCCCUCUCUGUCAACGAUGAAUGGUGGUCACUAGUCUAAAUUAGUGGCGAUGUUAACACGAUAACCAUUCCGCCUUGUGAGUACCGACUGCAAAGUUGAAAACAAAAAAAUUAGUCGGUUUCGAAGCAAACGGAUUGAAGCAUGUUAUUUAAUUCGAU
Molecule: ribosomal RNA, 601 nt
Filed under: Laccaria bicolor
Lineage: Eukaryota; Fungi; Basidiomycota; Agaricomycetes; Agaricales; Hydnangiaceae
Description: partial small subunit ribosomal RNA
Rfam family: Bacterial small subunit ribosomal RNA
Source: RNAcentral